Molecule: ribosomal RNA, 202 nt
Filed under: Solanum tuberosum (potato)
Lineage: Eukaryota; Viridiplantae; Streptophyta; Magnoliopsida; Solanales; Solanaceae
Description: rRNA LSU_rRNA_eukarya
Rfam family: Eukaryotic large subunit ribosomal RNA
Source: RNAcentral
UUUCCCUCAGAAUAGCUAGAGAUCGGGUGCGAAUUUUAUCGAAUAAAGCCAAUGAUUUGAGGCUUCAUGGGGAAACACCCUGACCUAUUUUCAAACUUUAAUCAGAAGGAUGACGUGACUUCUUUGUUGAGCUGCACCACGGAAUCAAGAACUCCAAGUGGGCCAUUUUUGGUAAGCUGGACUGGCGAUGAGGGAUGAACCG